This 21-nucleotide non-coding RNA is filed under the name Caenorhabditis elegans. The record is from RNAcentral. Lineage: Eukaryota; Metazoa; Nematoda; Chromadorea; Rhabditida; Rhabditidae.
UUUACUCUGUGUUCGGUGGAC